Molecule: long non-coding RNA, 773 nt
Filed under: Oryctolagus cuniculus (rabbit)
Lineage: Eukaryota; Metazoa; Chordata; Mammalia; Lagomorpha; Leporidae
Description: lncRNA (ENSOCUG00000033933.1)
Source: RNAcentral
CACAGUGCCUUAAGAAGUCUUGAAAGAGCCUUUGUUAUAGUGGAUAUUUUCCCUUACUUUAAAGUGUGUGAUUUAAAUUAUGUGCUUAAUUAUUUGUGUAAUGUUUGUGGUAGUUUAAAACAGGUCUGAUAUUUCUGAAAGCCCUUUUGUGGAGAAAUUGGGCUGACCUUAGUGAUUCAUUUGUAGCUAAUAGAACACUGGAAGCAACACUGCUUGACUUAGGAGCCUGGGUCAUAAAAAUCCACACUCAGAUUUAAGAAGCUGGAGUACAUUAAGGCCAUCAGGGUGUGAAGUAGCCCAAGUGAAAUGGAGGGGCCUUGUGUAGGCGCUUUUGUCAGCAGCCUCAACCCAAGCUCAGAUGUGUGACUGAAUUCACAUCCAGAUGGUUCCACCCUAAGUUCUGUAGCCAGAUCCAGCCACUCAUUUUUUCCCAGCUGAUGCAGCACCAGAUUUCAGGGAGCAGACAGGGGCUUCCCAGAUUCACAGAACUCUUUUGAGGACUCAACUUUUCUCUUACUGGCUGAACAUGAGGAAGGACCAAGGGAGAGGCUACAAAUAGUACUUCAAAACAUUCAGUUCCUCAGAGAAGUGGGAAACCAGGGCACUAAAUCAUAUUGCCAAGCCCAAUAUGAUGACCUUGAAUGAUGGUAUAGCCAGAGAUGGAAGCUGCCUAGUUCUCUUAAUUGCCUCUUGAAGAAAAGUCUUCUAUGGAUCAGGAGCAUCUAUUUUGGAUUUACUGAGGUGAAUAAUAAACUCCUAAUAUGUUUGAGUCA